Molecule: ribosomal RNA, 439 nt
Filed under: uncultured bacterium
Lineage: Bacteria
Description: partial 16S ribosomal RNA
Rfam family: Bacterial small subunit ribosomal RNA
Source: RNAcentral
CUACGGGGGGCAGCAGUGAGGAAUAUUGCACAAUGGGGGAAACCCUGAUGCAGCAACGCCGCGUGGAGGAUGACGCAUUUCGGUGUGUAAACUCCUUUUAUAUGUCAAGAAAAUGACGGUAGCAUAUGAAUAAGCACCGGCUAACUCCGUGCCAGCAGCCGCGGUAAUACGGAGGGUGCGAGCAUUACUCGGAAUCACUGGGCGGAAAGGACGCGUAGGCUGGUUGGUAAGUCAGGUGUGAAAUCCUACAGCUUAACUGUAGAACUGCACUUGAAACUACCAACCUAGAGUAUGGGAGGGGGAGAUGGAAUUAGUGGUGCAGGGGUAAAAUCCGUAGAUAUCACUAGGAAUACCGAAAGCGAAGGCGAUCUCCUGGAACAUAACUGACGCUAAGGCGUGAAAGCGUGGGGAGCAAACAGGAUUAGAUACCCCAGUAGUC